Molecule: ribosomal RNA, 495 nt
Filed under: uncultured bacterium
Lineage: Bacteria
Description: partial 16S ribosomal RNA
Rfam family: Bacterial small subunit ribosomal RNA
Source: RNAcentral
GACGAACGCUGGCGGCGUGCCUAAUACAUGCAAGUAGAACGCUGAAUGAGGAUCUUGCUCUUCUGGAUGAGUUGCGCACGGGUGAGUCACGCGUAGGUAACCUGCCUGGUAGCGGGGGAUAACUAUUGUACACGAUAGGUAAUACCGCAUAACAGUAGAUGUUGCAUGACAUUUACUUAAAAGGUGCAAUUUCAUCACUACCAGAUGGACCUGCGUUGUCUUAGCUAGUUGGCUGGGUAACGGCUCAGCAAGGCGACGAUACAUAGCCGACCUGAGAGGGUGAUCAGCACCACGGGCAAGAAGACAAGGCCCCGACUCCGACGGGAGGCAGCGGUCGGGCAUCUUCGGGAAUGGACGGAAGUCUGACCGCGCAAAGCCGCGUGAGUGAAGAAGGUCUUCGGAUCGUAAAGCUCGGUUGUACGCGAAGCACGAGCGUGAGAGUGGAAAGUUCACGCUGUGACGGUAUCUGAGCAAAAAGGGACGGCUAACUCCGUG